RNAcentral lists this small RNA (73 nucleotides) under Rhodospirillum centenum SW. RNAcentral's name for it is "Makes More Granules Regulator RNA (mmgR)". It matches the Rfam family "Makes More Granules Regulator RNA (mmgR)". From Rfam's summary of the family: SuhB later renamed mmgR (makes more granules regulator) was a putative non-coding RNA found multiple times in the Agrobacterium tumefaciens genome and related alpha-proteobacteria. Other non-coding RNAs uncovered in the same analysis include: speF, ybhL, metA, and serC. Several studies inSinorhizobium meliloti showed that suhB element is indeed a non-coding RNA:firstly it was detected on Northern blot and called Sm8RNA, secondly in an RNAseq study referred to as SmelC689. The record is from Rfam by way of RNAcentral. Lineage: Bacteria; Pseudomonadati; Pseudomonadota; Alphaproteobacteria; Rhodospirillales; Rhodospirillaceae.
CUGCAUUGCCCUUUGUUGGGCGUUUCCUCCCUAGACUCAGGCCGCUCUGUGAGCGGCCCUUUUUUUGCCAGAA